RNAcentral lists this non-coding RNA (554 nucleotides) under Pongo abelii (Sumatran orangutan). The record is from RNAcentral. Lineage: Eukaryota; Metazoa; Chordata; Mammalia; Primates; Hominidae.
UUUCCCAGGAAUGCUCUCGGAACUGGACCUUGAUGAAGGAAAUACUCACUUUCUGACUCACUGGAAUUUGUUAUAGUCAAAACAUGCUCUUCUGAAAUCUACAGGUGUUUCCAGACCUAAGAAUAACGGGAACAUGGAGGAGUGGCAUCUCCAGUGUAGCCACCCACCAAAGCCUCAUCCCGAACACUAUGGCCUAAUGGGUCACUUACAGGGAUGUAGCUGGCAUUGAUGUAGUCAGAGCAAGGAUCAUCAUCUACAUUGGAGAGCUUCACUCGCGUGGCAUCAUCUGGAAGGAGAGAUUUGCUGCUGAGUCUUGGAGUGACUUUUCUACAGUUUAUGUGAUGUGUGUGAUGUGCCUUAGCUCUGAUCCCCACAACAGCCACAGAUGGGAAGUGAUCUUAUCUCCAUUUUGCAGAUGAGGCUCAGACAGGAUAACUAACUUGCCCCACGUUGCAUAGGUGGCCUAUAACCAGUCAGACACAGGAGACAACAUGAAGCCCCAUCUGUGCUUCCCUUUCCAACAUUACCACAUUUGCCUGAUGGAGUGGCCAGCU